This 336-nucleotide ribosomal RNA is filed under the name Triticum aestivum (bread wheat). RNAcentral describes it as "partial small subunit ribosomal RNA". The record is from RNAcentral. Lineage: Eukaryota; Viridiplantae; Streptophyta; Magnoliopsida; Poales; Poaceae.
AUGGAAGUUGAAAUACAUGGAAACUGUGGUCGUGCACUUUUUUUUGUUUCUAGUGUCUCUAUCAUUUGUGUUUGCAAAACGCAGAUGGGUAAGAAUAUUCGAGGUGAUAUUCGAGAUGCACAUCGGUUUGCCUCAGGGGAACGUUCCCCGUUGCAGGACGUAACAAACUCACCUCUAAAUGGAAAUGCGGAGAGUAAUUCUGCUGCUCAAAAUAAAAGUGGCCAAUCAUGGUACACCAGAUUGUCUGAUGACAAGAAAGCAGAGAUCCCCGAGAAGCGUCGUGUCCCCCGGCAACAGAAGAAUGUUGCGGCCGUACGAAGUCUAAACCAUGCCUAG